UCGAGCGGUAACAUUUCUAGCUUGCUAGAAGAUGACGAGCGGCGGACGGGUGAGUAACGCGUAGGAAUCUGCCUAGUAGAGGGGGACAACAUGUGGAAACGCAUGCUAAUACCGCAUACGCCCUACGGGGGAAAGGAGGGGAUCUUCGGACCUUCCGCUAUUAGAUGAGCCUGCGUAAGAUUAGCUAGUUGGUGGGGUAAAGGCUCACCAAGGCGACGAUCUUUAACUGGUCUGAGAGGAUGACCAGUCACACUGGGACUGAGACACGGCCCAGACUCCUACGGGAGGCAGCAGUGGGGAAUAUUGGACAAUGGGCGAAAGCCUGAUCCAGCCAUGCCGCGUGUGUGAAGAAGGCCUUAGGGUUGUAAAGCACUUUCAGGAGUGAGGAAGGGUGCUUGGUUAAUACCCAAGUAUUUUGACGUUAGCUCCAGAAGAAGCACCGGCUAACUCUGUGCCAGCAGCCGCGGUAAU
Molecule: ribosomal RNA, 471 nt
Filed under: uncultured Marinomonas sp.
Lineage: Bacteria; Pseudomonadati; Pseudomonadota; Gammaproteobacteria; Oceanospirillales; Oceanospirillaceae
Description: bacterial SSU rRNA
Rfam family: Bacterial small subunit ribosomal RNA
Source: RNAcentral